AUGGAAAGUGUACACUGUUCUUCUUUUUCUUCACAUCUCCGAUCUGUUGUCAUUACUCUAUAUUGUUCUGAUUUCAUCAGCUAUCGUAUCUAAUCAGAGGCACAUCCUGAUGUUAUACCUGCUAAUGGAAUAGCUACAAAAGAAAUAUAAAAAAAUGACCUUGCUUACCUCAAGAAAAAGGUUGAUGCUAGAGCUGAUCUUAUUAUAACUCAACUCUUCUAUGAUAUUGAUAUUUUCCUCAAAUUUGUCAAUGAUUGCCGCCAAAUUGAAACUAAUUGCCCCAUUGUUCCGGGUAUAAUGUCCAUUAACAAUUAUAAGGGCUUCUUGCGCAUGACUAGAUUUUGCAAGACUAAGGUACAGGAAUCUUAUUAAAAGAGUUUUAAGAGCUAGACUUAUUUAUGGGAGCCCAAAUAUAAACAAAAUUGUGAGCUUUGAGUACAUGAAUCAUCAAUUGGUGUGGAAUGAAUUCUUGAUAUCUUCCUGUGUUCACUUGAUAGCAAUAACAGCCCAGUGGACAUGGAAGCCCCAACAAAACUGACGGGAAGAGGCUACGUCAUCCUUACCAGUAAAAAAUAUUCAAGGUGGAGAUCAAUUUUGCUGCAAAAAUCCCAAUGCAGGUAAUUACAAAUGCUCUGCGUAGUCAAGAGUUAGAGAACUCUCAAGAAGCAUUGAGAGUCUUGGAUAUUAUUCUAAGGCAGCAUGCUGCAAAGCAGUAAGUAGUUAUUCUUUUUCUCUCGAGAGUUCAAGUGUCUCAUUUUUCUUGCGUUAUUUAGUUAAUGUUCUUGUAUCAUGGGGUGCCUUUUUGUUAGACAAUCCUUUUUCCACAAUGAUCCGAUGUACAAUAAAGUUAGAACUAAGAACCUCUUAUAGGUCGAACCACAUGGGAUCUGUGUGUACUUUGAAACAAAUGGUUUCAGAUCAUUUAUUUUCAGUUGCUUGUUCCUUUUACAUUGAUGUUUAACUGAUAUUUGCUCGUUCGGAAAAUUGAAAAGUACGUAAAACUUAUUAGUUUUUUGGGUGAAGAGGCUGAAAUACAGUUUUAUUGUCAUUGUUAUUAUGAUUUUCCUUCCCAGUCCUUAUAGCAGUUUUUGACCAUUUGUUUUCUACUUUUAUAUUCAAAAACAAUGGUAAUAGCAGCCCCAGUGGACAUGAAAGUCCCAACGAAACUGACAGGAAGAGGCUACGUCGUCCUUACCAAUCAAAGAAAAUUCAAGGUGGAGAUUAAUUUUUCUGCCAAAAUCCCAAUACAGGCAAUUGCAAAUGCUCUGCAUGGUCAAGAGUCGGGGAACUCUCAAGUAGCAUUGAGAGUCUUGGAUAUUAUUCUAAGGUUGUAUGCUGCAAAGCAGUGAGUAGUUGUUCUUUUUCUCUCGAGGAUUCAAGUGUCUCUAUUUUUCUUGCAUCAUUUAGUUGAUGCUCCUGUAUCAGGGGGUGCCUGCUUGUUAGACAAUCAUUUUUCCCAAUGAUCCAAAGUACAAUAAAGUUAGAACUAAGAACCUCUUAUAGGUCGAACCACACGGGAUCUGUGUGUACUUGAAACAAAUGGUUUCAAACUAUUUUUUUCAGUUGCUUGUGACUUUUGCAUUGAUGUUUAACUGAUAUUUGCUUGUUCAUAAAUAAGGAAGUUACGUAAAACUUAUUAGUUUUUUGGGUGAAGAGGCUGAAAUACAGUUUUAUUGUCAGUAUUAUUAUACUUUCCCUUGAACUUGACAUAUAUGUUAAUAUGUGCAUCUUUUUUAAUGCAUUAUCCCCUCUUUAAAACUCUAAUAUUUCUCAUGAAAUCUGUGUACUUCCUUUUGAGAAGAGUAAUAACUGUCGAUGGUCAGUAUCAGAUUGAAAUUUAUAGUGUACGACCGAUUGCUUAUGGUGAAGAUGUCAUUUGUUGUUGCAAUUCUGUUACCGAGGAAUCUGUUUAGCUUAAGGAGAGAGCCUUUUACCUUUUUCUUUUUGUGGAUAUUUUUUGUUAAAUGGAGAUGUUUCAUGCUAUAGAGUAAAGAAGAGUAUGAAGCUUCUGUCUGUUUAUGCGGCAUUCAGGUUUUCCGUGGAAGUUACCUGAAUCUUACAGGUGAAGGGGCUAUCUUGAAGGGCUAUUUGAAUCAGAGUUCACUUCAUUCUCAGCUACAGAAUCCUAAAAUUUCAGUCAAUUAAAAUUUUAUCAAAAUCAGGUGGGAGUUGCUCAUGAUUGAACUCUAGAUGCUGUGAAAGAAAAAUAUAUCUGCGAGUUGCCAUUGUAGUGUUCUAAUGGCUUCUGGAAAAUGUUUUGAGUGCAAGGAAUGCAAGAACUUUCAACUUUGUGACAAGUGCAUUGAUUCUGAGCAAAAAAAUGAAGAUGGAGAAAGGCAUCCUAUCAUUUUUAAGGACAAGCACAUACGUUACCCUAGUGAAACCAAGGAGGCACCUCAGGACACCAAGGAUGAAGAUGAAAGACUAGAGAGCUCCGACUAAGUGCUAAAGAUAACCCAAUGCGGAUUCCAGUGGGUUUCGGUCAAAUUCGGUUGGAAAUUGUUGAUUUUUGGUUCGUAUCAACGUCUUUUGAGUUGGGUUUGAUUCCUGUUUGGGUUUGCAGAUCUCGAUACUGAGCUGGUGUCGAUCAUUUUGAGGUUUUCUAUCGGUUCAAAAUCUAUCCAGUUUGUAUUUCUCUAUAUCAAGUCGAUUUUGGUCAUGGUUGAGGUUCGGUUGGAGGUUUCCGGAUACGGACUCUUUUAAUUUGAAUAACAUUGAGUUUGAAAGCCUCAA
Molecule: long non-coding RNA, 2733 nt
Organism: Capsicum annuum
Lineage: Eukaryota; Viridiplantae; Streptophyta; Magnoliopsida; Solanales; Solanaceae
Exons: 10
Source: RefSeq, a predicted model, not a curated record